RNAcentral lists this ribosomal RNA (1183 nucleotides) under Leptonetidae gen. 1 sp. n. 4 HZ-2020. RNAcentral describes it as "SSU rRNA". It matches the Rfam family "Eukaryotic small subunit ribosomal RNA", at positions 79 to 1268 of the family's 1831-position model. The record is from RNAcentral. Lineage: Eukaryota; Metazoa; Arthropoda; Arachnida; Araneae; Leptonetidae.
AAGUGAAACCGCGAAUGGCUCAUUAAAUCAGUUAUGACUCAAUAGGUCGUACACAAUUACUUGGAUAACUGUGGUAAUUCUAGAGCUAAUACAUGCAGCAGAGCUCCGACCUUCGGGGACGAGCGCUUUUAUUAGACAAGACCAGUCGGGCCCGGUCCGUUCAUAUGGUGACUCUGGAUAACUUUGGGCUGAUCGCACGGGCUCGUCCCGGCGACGCAUCUUUCAAGUGUCUGCCUUAUCAACUGUCGACGGUUGGUUAAAUGCCUACCGUGGUUGUAACGGGUGACGGGGAAUCAGGGUUCGGUUCCGGAGAGGGAGCCUGAGAAACGGCUACCAGUUCUAAGGAAGGCAGCAGGCGCGCAAAUUAUCCAAUCGGCGUUUGCGGAGAUAGUGACGAAAAAUAACAAUACGGGACUCUUUUGAGACCCCGUAAUUGGAAUGAGUACAUUCUAAAUCCUUUAACGAGGAUCAAUGAGAGAGCAAGCCUAGUGCCAGCAGUCGCGGUAACCCUAGCUCUCAUAGCGUAUAUUAAAAUUGUUGCGGUUAAAAAGCUCGUAGUUGGAUCUCAGUUCCAGACGGGUGUUCCGCCUACCGGCGGUCAACGCUCGUUCUGAACAACCCGUCGGUUUCCCUGGAUGAUCUUCACCGGUUGUCCUGGGUGACCGGCAACUUUACUUUGAAAAAAUUAGAGUGCUCAAAGCAGGCGUGACGCCUGAACACUUGUGCAUGGAAUAAUGGAAUAGGACCUCGGUUCUAUUUUGUUGGUUUUCUGAACUAGAGGUAAUGAUUAAGAGGGACGACCGGGGCCAUGCGUACUACCUAGCUAGAGGUGAAAUUCUUUGACCUAGGUAUGACGAACGGCAGCGAAAGCGCUUGGCAAGAGCGUUUUCUUUAAUCAAGAACGAAAGUUGGGGGUCCGAAGGCGAUCAGAUACCGCCCUAGUCUUAACUGUAAACGAUGCCAACCAGCGAUCCGCCUGAGUUCCUCAAAUGACUCGGCGGGCAGCUUCCGGGAAACCACAGUUGGGUUCCGGGGGGAAUAUGGUUGCAAAGCUGAAACUUAAAGGAAUUGACGGAGAGGCACUACAAGGCAUGGAUCGUGCGGCUUAAUUCGACUCAACACGGGCAAUCUCACUAUGCCAGGACACAUUUAGGAUUGACAGAUUAAUAGCUCUUCUCGAUUA